UACAGAGGUCUCAAGCGUUGUUCGGAUUCAUUGGGCGUAAAGGGUGCGUAGGUGGUGAUGCAAGUCUGGUGUGAAAUCUCGGAGCUCAACUCCGAAAUUGCACCGGAUACUGCGUGACUCGAGGACUGUAGAGGAGAUCGGAAUUCACGGUGUAGCAGUGAAAUGCGUAGAUAUCGUGAGGAAGACCAGUUGCGAAGGCGGAUCUCUGGGACGGUACUGACGCUGAGACGCGAAAGCGUGGGGAGCGAACAGG
This 253-nucleotide ribosomal RNA is filed under the name uncultured bacterium. RNAcentral's name for it is "partial 16S ribosomal RNA". It matches the Rfam family "Bacterial small subunit ribosomal RNA", at positions 524 to 776 of the family's 1533-position model. The record is from RNAcentral.